Long non-coding RNA from Centrocercus urophasianus (Greater sage-grouse), 2162 nucleotides. RefSeq lists it as uncharacterized. The record is from RefSeq and is a predicted model, not a curated record. The transcript is spliced from 3 exons. Lineage: Eukaryota; Metazoa; Chordata; Aves; Galliformes; Phasianidae.
AGCAAAGCACAGCUUCUCACAUGGCAGGGAUUCAUCGCACCGACCAGGAUUAUAAGGAUUACAGGCGCACACCAUUGUAAUUUUGUGAUAUUUGGGUGGCAACAAAAGCAGACCCAAGAAUUUGAAGAACAGGCAGCCUGAACCUGCACCUGAGAACUGCAAAUGGUCCCAGUCUGCAUUCACACAGCCCUACAAGAGGCAUCACCACAAGAACUCCGAGACCACAAACCACCCCAACCAUAGCACAGGAGGCAGCAACACUUUGGCUUAAAAGGAGAACUGCACACAGGUGUCAGACCUGGCAGAAGGAGAUCAGAAUCCAACCCCUCUAUGGCACAGCAGAAGCCCUGAGGGGCACAGAGCCCAGCACAGCACUCAAGCACCAGCGCAGGGCGACCAUUUCCCACCCAGCUCUGAGGCAGUGGGAACAGCACAACGGCUGCCCCAGAAGCAGCUGACCUCAGCCGCUCUGACUUCAGACAGCAUCACUCAGAAUUGUCUCCUCAAGAAGAGAACCCUUGUCUCAAAACCAGCCUACCUGCAGCACCCCAGACAUCAGCCACGUGGAGUGCAAAAGCAGCAUUAGCAGGGCUGAUGUGUUAAUUUUUGCUCAGUAUCCAUCCACAGGCCUCUCACAAUGACUUUCUGCAGGCCAACUGUGCGCUGCCUCCGCUACCAAAAGAAAUAGGGGUCCAUAACUGAUGCAGCCCUAUCCUACCUGUCACACCUGGCUACAUGGAGUCUCCUGACCUGAUAGGGGUUUUAAAUUAGGAAAAAUCCUCAGCUCCUUGGACAUCCUGAGGAUGCCUGCUAUGCUCUGCUGAGAGGACAGCUUGGUUUGGAUGCUGGAACCUGCAGAAUUCAAACUCCUUUGUAGCCAAAACUGUCCGUUUGCUUCUGCCACAAAUGUUUCUGGUGUCCCAAUGGUCACCUGGCUCAAAGGGCAGCAGUGCUUUGUAGCAGUACUCAGGCCAUCCUCUUGGCAGAGGAAAACAGCCUUUUUGUUACAGUAUGUCCUCUGAAGCAUGCUGGCCCUGGGAGAAGAGCAGGAUGAUGUCUGUGCUGGGUGGCUGCUCAUUUUGCAUGAGCAGAGCUGGGGCUGCAGCACUGCUGGGCUCACACACUAACAAAACAGCCUGGUGUUCUUCAUCACGGUUAGCUCUCAGCAUCGCACACCCUGAAAGCAUUUCAGCAGUACUCAGUGUGCUGAGAAAGGAACUAGGGAGAUGGGAUUCCUGUGGACAAAAAUAGUUUAAAAGUUACAGCAAAACAAGACUGUUGGAACAUGGAGUCCUCUUUAGCAGCAUCCAGCCAAGCAGCAAGAACGAAAAGGAAAUAACCUAUAAAUAAUACACAGCAAAUCUGCUCUGAUCCACUAACCCACUGUAGGGCAGGUUUACAGUGAAGAAUAAAAAGAAUUUAAGCUUGAUUGUGAUUUAGAAAGAGUACAGCAUCAAUGUAUGUUCCUUGCCCUGGUUUCGCAGCUGGAAUCAAUGGAUAACAGACUCAAUGUGAUGGAAGACCAGUCCAACUUUCUGCUCAUGGUGUGUGUUUUGGUUUUUUUUUUCUGAGAAGGGAAGGAGCACACAGCUGCCAGCUGCACAGGAAGGUCUGUGUUCCACUGGGUGGCUCUGAGAAGCACCUCUGGGGCAGACGUGAUCCUGGAUGCUGUGACCAAAGCACAAAGAGCAUCUCCACCAGCACUGAGACCUCCUCAUGGGAAAGGAAAGCAAACAGAAGUAUGUCACCAUUUAUCAACUCAUAAGAGCUGCCCUGGGAUAGGCAGCGCAUGUAAUACUCAUGUACUAACAGGACAUAACAUCAAACAGAAUAUGGGUUAUUAAUUCCCAUUAUGGAAUAACUGAUGUUUCUUUAAAGUAAUGUGACAGGCAAGAAGCAAGCUCACCUUUCCCAUAAGAUACAAAGCCAUACUCAGACACUACUGAAGCUUUGUUUUGACUAUAAGGAGGUUCUUCAGGAUUGCCAACAGAAUGUGGCAGAAGGGGCGUCCUCCUAAGAUGGUAACGUUUUUGCUAGAACGUCCUUUCUGACAACAUACUGUUGGUAAAGCUACGAGAGCAGCUCUGUUUUUACUUAAAUAAACCCAAGUGAUAAUUAUCUAUAUGGUUUGAUUGAAUACAGAAAAACGAUGACCAGUUUUU